AUGUUUCGUGAUGUCUCACGCUUCACCAACCGAUGCUCUACAUGUCGCAAAGCUAAGUCCAAAGCUCAAUCACAUGGUCUUUACAUGCCUCUUCCUAUUCCUUAUCAACCUUGGGAAGACAUUAGCAUGGAUUUUGUACUUGGUUUGCCUAGAACUCGAAAUGGAAAGGAUUUUUUCUUUGUUGUUGUGGACCGAUUUUCUAAGAUGGCACAUUUCAUUCCUUGCCACAAGAUAGACGAUGCUUCACACAUUGCAAAUCUCUUUUGUAGGGAAAUCUUGCGCCUCCAUGGAGUACCAAAGACAAUCAUCUCCGACCGCGACGUCAAGUUCUUGAGUUACUUUUGGAAGGUGAUAUGCGCCAAGCUCGGAAUCAAGCUCUUGUUCUCAUCCGCAUACCAUACUCAAACCGACGGCCAAACGGAGGUGACGAACCGCACGCUAUCCACUCUACUUCGCGUGUUGAUCAAGAAGAACAUCAAGGAGUGGGAGGAAUGUCUACCCAUCGCCGAGUACGCCUACAACCGUGCAAGACAUUCUAGGACCGGCAAGUCCCCCUUCGAGGUCGUCUACGGCUUCAACCCGUUAUCCCCAUUGGACAUUCUACCUCUUCCUCUACAAGAGCGCACCCACUACAAGAAAUCUGUCAACUAG
RNAcentral lists this ribosomal RNA (651 nucleotides) under Triticum aestivum (bread wheat). RNAcentral describes it as "partial small subunit ribosomal RNA". The record is from RNAcentral. Lineage: Eukaryota; Viridiplantae; Streptophyta; Magnoliopsida; Poales; Poaceae.